AAAGGAGCAUGAUCCAUCAUCAUGAGCAAGAAGAACAGACUCUCCCUCUGACACAAACCAUCCUCCUGUUGAACUUUUGGGGCCCAUUUGGUUAACUUGAUAAACACCAGUAUCUUCAGUCUCCUCACCAAUUACAACUGCUUGUCUAUUUUCCUGGUCAUCAAACUCAUCAAGUGUCUCAUCAGUUGUAAGAUCAAGCUCCUCACUACACUUGCCAUGGUAAUUGAUAAAAGAAUCUUGUUUUCCUGAAGCUGCAGCACCAUUAGUUUCUUUAACUUCACAAAAUUCAAAGCCGGCCUUUGCAUCUCUCAGAGUUACCUUUGUGUCCUUAUUAAGUGAAGCCAACAAAUCUAGUGCUAUUGGAUUUUCUUCAGUAGGGCUCAACAACUUCUCU
Molecule: unclassified non-coding RNA, 394 nt
Filed under: Hevea brasiliensis (rubber tree)
Lineage: Eukaryota; Viridiplantae; Streptophyta; Magnoliopsida; Malpighiales; Euphorbiaceae
Source: RNAcentral